CUUUUGUCUCUCGGCAAGAAGCUUUCCUCCGGGAAAGAUAAAGUAAUCGAUAGGGUCUUUUAAAUAGCUCCGCGUUUCCUGUUGGGAGAGGAGUAUCAGCGCGCGCACCAAAUCUGCUCUGAUUCCAGAAAGCAACAUGCUCCCUGAUGAAAAGGCCAUGGUCAUUGUCUUGCGGGAUUGGCCUGGCCUGGCUCUGACAGUUCUCAGCUGCUCCAUAAAUCUCGCAUCAGUUCCAUCUGGCCAAAAAGAUGUCAUCACCGUUUUCUCAUAGCGACGAAGAGGAAAAGAUCAUGUGCUCUGGGGGGAGCUAGCUGCCACAUUGUGAGGAUGCUCAAGCAGCCCUGUGGUCCCUAUGGCAACUGAUGAAGGCCUCCUACUAACAGCCAGCUUGAACGUGCCAGCCAGCCGAACAGUGCUGAAAGUGAGCAUUUCAGCCCCAGUCAAGCCUUCAGAUGGCUGCAGCUGACUACAGCUUCCUGAGAGACUCCCAAGCCAGAACACC
Molecule: long non-coding RNA, 502 nt
Organism: Bos taurus (domestic cattle)
Lineage: Eukaryota; Metazoa; Chordata; Mammalia; Artiodactyla; Bovidae
Source: Ensembl